This is a long non-coding RNA of Arabidopsis lyrata subsp. lyrata, 544 nucleotides long. RefSeq lists it as uncharacterized. The transcript is spliced from 3 exons. The record is from RefSeq and is a predicted model, not a curated record. Lineage: Eukaryota; Viridiplantae; Streptophyta; Magnoliopsida; Brassicales; Brassicaceae.
UUUGUUAAUCUUUUGGAUAAUUCUAUAUCUUAGUAGUUAAUAUUCAUUUUUGUUAGUUUUCUGAUUUAGUUUCUAAUUAAAAAGUUAGAUUUCUUAAGAUAAUGAUUGAUGUUUGCCCUAAUUUUAAAGCUAUAUAUAUAGUUAUCGGCCAGAGAAUUAGGUAUUGUUUUUUUCCUGUGCUCAUUAGAUAGUUUCACCGUUAUGGUUUUUUUAUAUAGCUACUACGAUUCUGAUGAAUCGAAUUGUUUGUCAUGCAUAUAUUGUUUUCAUGGUCCUUUAAAGAUUUGUAGAACGUGGGAGGUUCCAUCGACAAAGCUUUCGGACGAAGGUGGUGUUGAUGAGAACAUAACGAGGUUUGGAAAGUAAAUCUUCAUCUUCAACAAUGAAAAGGAGGAAUAAGGUAAUCUUUUACAUUAAUCGUUUUCUUAUAAUUCUAUUAGUUUGUAGAUUAUGUUGUUAUUUGUAUUCUGGUUUCUAUUGGUCGGUUGUUUUCUUUAAUAAAACUAAUAUCCAAAAAAAAUUAUGAAUUCUGGUUUCUAUUGGU